CCCUUAGAUGUCCGGGGCCGCACGCGCGCUACACUGAAGGCAUCAGCGUGUCCUUCCCUCCCCGAGAGGGGCGGGUAACCCGCUGAACCGCUUUCGUGGUAGGGAUCGGGGCUUGCAAUUAUUCCCCGUGAACCAGGAAUUCCCAGUAAGCGCGAGUCAUAAGCUCGCGUUGAUUACGUCCCUGCCCUUUGUACACACCGCCCGUCGCUACUACCGAUUGAACGUUUUAGUGAGGUAUUUGGAUCGGACCUGAAGGGGUUCACGCCCUUUCUGUGUCUGAGAAGACUCCCAAACUUGAGCGUUUAGAGGAAGUAAAAGUCGUAACA
This 326-nucleotide ribosomal RNA is filed under the name uncultured eukaryote. RNAcentral describes it as "partial 18S ribosomal RNA". It matches the Rfam family "Eukaryotic small subunit ribosomal RNA", at positions 1470 to 1796 of the family's 1831-position model. The record is from RNAcentral.